Molecule: long non-coding RNA, 3059 nt
Organism: Schistocerca serialis cubense
Lineage: Eukaryota; Metazoa; Arthropoda; Insecta; Orthoptera; Acrididae
Exons: 2
Source: RefSeq, a predicted model, not a curated record
UAAUAGUUUACUGUUGAACAUCUACAAGCAGUAAAAAACAUAACCACAUAGUCCACAGUUCUUUCGGAAUAAUCAUGCAUGUAUGAAACAGACACUGUCAUUGUUUUAACACAUGGCCUAACUGUGUUACACUUAUUUCACAGUUAAGUUGAUGCAUUGUUGUUGUUCUAACCAACACAGGUUUCUCAUCUGGAACUCGGCCGUGGACUGACUGUCUCGGGACCAAAAAUUGGGCCCUUAUAUAUCCUCACAAUAAAAGGACAACCUAGUUGAAAAUGAAGUGGAGAAUCUACUACAAAUGAUGCAGACAAUCCCAGGAUGUGAAGAAGUUAGUGAAGGAGACAUAGGUGAGUGGAUGGGGCAUGUGUGGAGAACCUUACUGAUGCUGAUUUAGUUGCUGCUGUGAGUCAAGAGCAGGAAGAAGUGGACUGCUGUGAGAAGUGACAAUGAGCCUGAAAGCGGCAAAGGAGAGCUGGUGCCACACAGUGACGCAGCAGUCGCCCUCGACCUCACGCUACAUUAUUUGGAGCAACAGCCCACUGCUACACCUGCUGAUUGAUUUUUAUGAGAUGAUGGCACAACUAUGCGUCAAAAAGCAAUGACAGAGUUUUUGUCAUCUAAAAGUAGGGAUAAAAUGUCCGCUGUAUUUUAGUAAGUUUGACAGCUUUUCUUUCAUUGUUGUGCAUUGUUUAAACAUAAUGUUUUCUUGCCAAUUUUUCUAAUACAUAUUUAUUGUACUGUGUUAAUUAAAAUAAUGUGUAUGCACAGCAGUUUACCACACUUUUCCAUAUUUAGGCUAACAUUUUUCAUGUUCGGAUUAACCGAACGUUCGGAUUAACCGAACUUUUCCAUACUUAGGCUAACAUUUUUCAUGUUCGGAUUAACCGAACGUUCGGAUUACCGGACUCUGCUGUAAUUAAAAGUGAAAAAAAUAAAUUUUAAAGAGGCAGGUGGCAAAACGAGUGGAAGUAAAAAUAUUCCAGCUUGCUUUAUCACAACAUGACUGCAGUCUCAGGCAACUGAGGCCACACUGCGAGCAGCAGCACUGGCGCAUGAUGGGAGUGGCGACUGGCCCCAGCCUCCUCAUCACCCCCACCCAAUCGCCACUCCCAUCGUGCACUGAUGCUGCUGCUUGUAGUGUGGCCUCAGUUGCCUUAGACUGCAGUCAUGUGUGUGUUAGUUGCAUUUGCAUGAGUGUGUAUGUGUGUGUUUACCAUGUAAUUCUGACGGAGGCUCCAGGCCGAAAGCUAUUAUUUGGACAGUCUUUUUGUUGUGCCUAUCUGCGACUCAACAUCUCCGCUAUAUGAAAUUACAAUUAAAUCAAUACCAUUAGCUGCUGACUGGUGUUUGUAUAGAUCAACGGGGACAGUUGAAAAUGUGUGCCCUGACCGAGACUCAAACCCGGGAUCUCCUGCUUACAUGCCACCGAGGGCACAGAGGAUAGUGCGACUGCAGGGAUUUAUCGCUGGCACGCUCCCCGUGAGACCCACAUUCUCAACUUAUAGUUCACACACUAUAGUCAUAGUGCCCCUGCCAUUAUACCGAUUACUCGCGGCAGACAAUCCCCCCCGAGUCCCGUAAGAGUUCAGGCAAAUCGUGUGCAUCCACACUGAAGGUCAUCAGUCGGUUAGCCUUAAAUGAAAGAACAAAUGCCAUUUUCAUAUCUCAGCUAUAUGGUGACUAGCAACUUUCCUUUUCACAAUUUGUUACAUUCCAGCCUGGUUUUUCGAUUGUUUAAUUUCUUGAACAUUCUUUCGAAUGAUAACAACAUUUUGGUAGCAAUUGUGGAAACAUUGUAGGGAACUGGAAAUAACUAUUCCAAGAAUUGAGGUUUGAAUGAUGACUGUUGUGCUUAUUAAAGUGCAAAACAAAAGUAGAGUACCUUCCAAGCCCAAAGGAAACAUGUACAGCAAUAGCUUUCAGUCACAAAGAAAAGGGAAAAUUUUUUUAGUUAAACAAAGGAGGGAGGAAACAGUUAUACAUAAUCAGUGUGCAAAGUCGGUUUCAUUUAGCAAAAUCUGUACAUGAAUUGUAUAAAUGGAGGGAAGAUUUACAUGAAGUACAAAAUAUGCACCAAUAUGAAACUCAUUACAGUGUGAAAGAAAUACUACUUGAAAAAUUUAGAAUUCCUCGUGAGAGUCAAUGCACCAUUACCAAAGGAGAUCUGCGAGACUGGGCACUCUAAAUUAUAAGUAGAGUUGCUUGUGCAGUCAACGAAUACUGUGACACAUUUGUGUGCAACAAUGCUGGUGAUAAGUAUCAGUGGAUUAUUGUUUCUACAAUAUUACAUCUAUCUUCAGGAACAUUAGGACAAAAAAUAAAAAAAUAAAAAAUAAAUACUGUUUACUUUCAAAAAUUGCAUAAUCUGGAUGGCAAUGGGAGAGAAUACUUUUGAAUGUUACAUCCGAAAUGUCUUCUCACCAUUUGCAGAAAAUAAUCCAUUUCCUUUGUUGGAUUCUUGUCCUGGACAUAACAACACUCCCGUCUUGAAGAGGACAAUAAAAAGACUUAACAUAAUUCAGAUUCCACCCACAACUAAAAGUGCGAUUUAGACUCUUGAUUAAAAAAUAAAUAAAUAAAAUCCAAUAGCGUUAAGCAUUUCUCAGGAAUCUGCUGGGCAGUAUAAUUUCUGUUAGCUCUUUGUCAUUUCAGGUCUAUCAAUGGAACAGUGUUAUUAAACUUUAGUCACUUAUGCCUUGUCCGUUUGCAUCACCACAUUUUACGAAUUUGACAAGUAUGCCUGAUACACAGCACAAUACGCAAAACAGUGGCCACGGUCAUUUCUUACUCCAUUCCAGUUGUGUCUGAAUAAAACUAGUAAUUACUGUGAAGCACCUGAAUUCAUUAAUUUUUCUUUUAUCAGUUGUGGCUGGUGUAAGGAAAAUGUUUGUUUUUUGUCAUCCAAUAGACAUGUCAUUUUUGUGAAGACUGCAGGGAAUAAACUAAGGACUGUUUCAUUGUUAAUGAAAUAUACAUUAUUCCUAAGUUAUAAGAACUGUGCUACAGGCAUUUUUGUAAAAUAUGUAAUGUAAAACAAAUUAAAGUGCUAAUUGAUGGAA